This 250-nucleotide ribosomal RNA is filed under the name uncultured prokaryote. Its description in RNAcentral is "partial 16S ribosomal RNA". It matches the Rfam family "Bacterial small subunit ribosomal RNA", at positions 524 to 773 of the family's 1533-position model. The record is from RNAcentral.
UACGGAGGAUCCGAGCGUUAUCCGGAUUUAUUGGGUUUAAAGGGUGCGUAGGCGGGGCGUUAAGUCAGCGGUGAAAGUUUGCGGCUCAACCGUAAAAUUGCCGUUGAAACUGGCGCUCUUGAGUGCAAGUGAGGUAAGCGGAAUGUGUAAUGUAGCGGUGAAAUGCAUAGAUAUUACACAGAACACCGAUUGCGAAGGCAGCUUACUGGUAUGUAACUGACGCUGAGGCACGAAAGCGCGGGUAUCGAAC